RNAcentral lists this long non-coding RNA (1467 nucleotides) under Nicotiana benthamiana. Its description in RNAcentral is "long non-coding RNA (NBEN_LNC033109)". The record is from RNAcentral. Lineage: Eukaryota; Viridiplantae; Streptophyta; Magnoliopsida; Solanales; Solanaceae.
GAGAAGUUAAUAAUCAACUAAAACCAAAAGUGCACAUUGUGAACGAAAGACAUACAACAAAAGCAUCGCUAGCUAAAACAAACUAGUGCUCCAUUUCUUAUUAAACAGGCAGUGGAAAAGCUCCACUACUAUAUUACAGAUUACAGACAAGACAGAGCAUAUUGUCAUGUCUUUAAUUCAUACAUAGAUUACAUAUCAUCAGUUUGGACUUAGGAAACAGCAACCUUAGACUUCUGGAGAUCAUCCUCCACUUCACCAACAUAUUCAACCACUUUGCUGCCAUAUUCAGAUUCUCCUUCACAAAUAAAAGUUCCAUUAGAACUGAAAUAGUUGCAACCUUUCUUGCCUGCGCAACAAUUAGUGCAUAACCGAUUAUUCUUCUUUUCUUCUGAAAGUGGGCAAAUCCCAUAGGCAAUUCUUGGAUCGCAUUCGAAAGUACAACCCUUUGGAUUUCUAGGAUCAGACUCUCCUUCACAAACAAAAGUUCCAUCAUCACUAAAGUACUUACAGCCCUUUUUGCCUGAACAACAGUUGGUGCAUAUCCGAUCAUUUUUCUUUUCUUCUGAACGCGGGCAAACUCGAUAGUCAAUUCUUGGAUCACAAUUUCGGGGACAAGCUUUUGAAUUUUUAGGAUCAGACUCUCCUUCACAAACAAAAGUUCCAUCAGCACUGAAGUAAUUACAACCCUUCGUGCCUGCGCAACAAUACGCGGGCAAACUCGAUAGUCAAUUCUUGGAUCACAAUUUCGGGGACAAGCUUUUGGAUUUCUAGGAUCAGACUCUCCUUCACAAACAAAAGUUCCAUCAGCACUGAAGUAAACAGUUGGUGCAUAUUUGAUUGUUCUCUUUUUCUUUUGAACGCGGGCAAACUCGAUAGUCAAUUCUUGAAUCACAAUUUCGGGGACAACCUUUUGGAUUUCUAGGAUCAGACUCUCCUUCACAAACAAAAGUUCCAUCAGCACUGAAGUAGUUACAACCCUUCGUGCCUGCGCAACAAUUGGUGCAUAUUUGAUUGUUCUCUUUUUCUUCUGAACGCGGGCAAACUCGAUAGUCAAUUCUUGGAUCACAAUUUCGGGGACAAGCUUUUGGAUUUCUAGGAUCAGACUCUCCUUCACAAACAAAAGUUCCAUCAGCACUGAAGUAGUUACAACCCUUCGUGCCUGCGCAACAGUUGGUACAUAACCGAUUAUUCUUCUUUUCUUCUGAAAGUGGGCAAAUCCCAUAGGCAAUUCUUCCAUCACAAUUCCGAGGACAUGGCUUUGGAUUUCUAGGAUCAGACUCUCCUUCACAAACAAAAGUUCCAUCAUCACUAAAGUACUUACAACCCUUUUUUCCUGCACAACAAUUGGUGCAUAUUCGAUUGUUCGUCUUUUCUUCUAAACGCGGACAAACUCCAUAAGCAAUUCUUGUAUCGCAUUCCCGAGUACAAGCCUUGGCAUGUUCCACAUUGCUUACAAGCAGAGACAUU